AGCCGCAACUCUAUAAGCGACGUUCUCCCUUUGAUCUUCUUUUUCCUUAUUGGAAUAAUUCUUGCUCAAAUUUUUAUGAGCUUUGUCACCAAUCCCGAUGAUAGCGUGGUGAAAACGCUAAUACCGGCCCUUCCCGUGCUAAUGGGCCUGUUUGUUUUCAAACUAUCGAUCUUCUUCGGGGCAGUUUUCUCUACCGUGGUGUACAUGUUCAAUUAUUGUUCCAAUGCUGAAUUUCACGUACCUGCUGAGAUCAACGCUAAGGAGCAGUUCAACCUCGGGUCUGCCGUUUUCCUUUUUGCACUGGGCACGUACUUGCAUCUGAGCCACAGGAAUAUUGGAAUGUCCACCGCCAAGGUUUAAUCGAGCUAUAAAUUCAAUAAAAUAUAGUAUUUGCACCUAAAAA
This is a long non-coding RNA of Cloeon dipterum, 403 nucleotides long. RefSeq lists it as uncharacterized. The transcript has 3 exons. The record is from RefSeq and is a predicted model, not a curated record. Lineage: Eukaryota; Metazoa; Arthropoda; Insecta; Ephemeroptera; Baetidae.